AUACCUUCUAUUAUUACUGUUUUUGCUGCAGAAGCAUCUUUGACGCUACUGGAUAGCUCACAUGCUCAAUUCACUGCCAUUAGCAAUUUUUUAACGCAUUCCACCUCGGCCAGUCUACAGAGCAUUCUUUUAUUUCCAACCUUGUUGUAGAGUAAUUUAGUUCAUUUUAAAGCUGAACGUUUGUGGAUGCUUCAGUUACUAUCUGCUGGAUCAAACCUAGCUGAUGAUGCCAAAAUAUACAAGAGAGGAAGAGUCUUAUAGGUUGCUCUUGCGUUCUGUUCUUCACCUGUUUCAGAUUCUGAAUCGAAGGUUUUAGUCCUUAAGAUGUUGAAGAGGUGUGUCAAGCAGUUCUAGCUCAUCAUCUAGCGAAAGAGUCUGGCCUUCUGUUGUGGUUAUCCUCUGUUAUUUCAAUUGAAGGAUCCGAUGGUGCUGAAAGCUCCUGUUCUAGAGUAACUGAGUUAACGUUGGAGGUAGUCAAUGAUUUGAUAUCAUCAAGACUAAUUACAGAUUGGCUCCAAGAAUCUGCCCUUGAGCAACUCUCUGGUGAUAUCAGCAGACCUUUGUGUCCUUCUAAUUAACAAUGCUAAAUUAUUGAAAGGAAAUGUUCCCUUAUUGACUUCAGUGUUUAGUGUGAUUACAUCAACAAUGAGGUUGUUUAUGAAAAGGAAGAUAUACUAACUGCAUUUUAUCUUGUCCCUCCAUGGUGUAUUUAAUCUGUCCCAAGCUACCGUUGGCAGCUCAAGAAGUGCAGAGCAUAAGUUUACAAUGGAACUUGGUAUCGAUGCCAUUCUUAUGAAUGGUCCUAUGCCAAUUUUAUCUGAAAUGGAUAAGUCAAGAAUAUAAUGGUUGUUUCUUGGGCAACUUCAAACAUCUUCUGGUUGUACUCUAACCAAAGGUCUAUGUUGGAAAUAUCCUCAAAAGAGUCAAAGCUUUUGCGCUUAUUAGUGGCUUCUGUAAUACUUGGGAGGAUAUCCAGCAUCUCUCAUGGAAAGAGUGGAGAUCUUGCACGGAGCACCAGCAGUCUUGGAACUCUUCAUUCUUUCUUGAACGAUGCGUAUGAAAGGGUUGAAACGGUAGAAAGUUGCAGUGCGAAUGAUACGCUACCUGUCAUUAUAUUAUACCUUCAAGACCAUGUGCAAAAGAACAGUGAUUCUUUGCCAUCAGUUGUGAUGGCUCUUUGCUUGUUGCUUCUUGACAGAUCCAGUAAGCAAGUGAACAAGCACCUGGCCGACAACCAUGGAAAGAUUGAAAUGCUUUGCUCAAAGAUACGGUGUCCUGCUGAAUCUAAUCCUUCAUGGAGAUGGCAUUACUAUCAACCCUGGAAGGAUCCUGCUGCGCCGCGAGAUGGAGCGCUUGGAAGAGGAGCAGGCGUGCCGAAGCCUCCUGAUCCUAUUUUCUAAUGCCUUCAGUGCCUCCCUGCCGGAAUUUUCGGUACUGUCACUAGAUGAUGUUGAAAAAUCUAGCCUGUUCCAGUGGGAAAGGGAGUCCAUGGUUAAGCAGAAACAUUGCGAUUAGUUUGCUGAGGCAGUAAUUUGACAAGUCAUAGAACUGUUGGUGUGUAAAGGAAUGCUUGUUCCUCAGUUGGAUCAAGUAGAGCUCCGUGCACAGUUGGAUCCACAGAUGCCUCAAUUAAAAAAAAA
Molecule: long non-coding RNA, 1640 nt
Organism: Setaria italica (foxtail millet)
Lineage: Eukaryota; Viridiplantae; Streptophyta; Magnoliopsida; Poales; Poaceae
Exons: 7
Source: RefSeq, a predicted model, not a curated record